GCUGACGAGCGGCGGACGGGUGAGUAAUGCAUAGGAAUCUGCCCGAUAGUGGGGGAUAACCUGGGGAAACCCAGGCUAAUACCGCAUACGUCCUACGGGAGAAAGGGGGCUUCGGCUCCCGCUAUCGGAUGAGCCUAUGUCGGAUUAGCUAGUUGGUGAGGUAAAGGCUCACCAAGGCAACGAUCCGUAGCUGGUCUGAGAGGAUGAUCAGCCACAUCGGGACUGAGACACGGCCCGAACUCCUACGGGAGGCAGCAGUGGGGAAUAUUGGACAAUGGGGGCAACCCUGAUCCAGCCAUGCCGCGUGUGUGAAGAAGGCCCUCGGGUUGUAAAGCACUUUCAGCGAGGAAGAACGCCUAGCGGUUAAUACCCGCUAGGAAAGACAUCACUCGCAGAAGAAGCACCGGCUAACUCCGUGCCAGCAGCCGCGGUAAUACGGAGGGUGCAAGCGUUAAUCGGAAUUACUGGGCGUAAAGCGCGCGUAGGUGGCUUGAUAAGCCGGUUGUGAAAGCCCCGGGCUCAACCUGGGAACGGCAUCCGGAACUGUCAAGCUAGAGUGCAGGAGAGGAAGGUAGAAUUCCCGGUGUAGCGGUGAAAUGCGUAGAGAUCGGGAGGAAUACCAGUGGCGAAGGCGGCCUUCUGGACUGACACUGACACUGAGGUGCGAAAGCGUGGGUAGCAAACAGGAUUAGAUACCCUGGUAGUCCACGCCGUAAACGAUGUCGACCAGCCGUUGGGUGCCUAGCGCACUUUGUGGCGAAGUUAACGCGAUAAGUCGACCGCCUGGAGACGCCGACUUG
This 800-nucleotide ribosomal RNA is filed under the name Vreelandella aquamarina. RNAcentral describes it as "bacterial SSU rRNA". It matches the Rfam family "Bacterial small subunit ribosomal RNA", at positions 87 to 873 of the family's 1533-position model. Lineage: Bacteria; Pseudomonadati; Pseudomonadota; Gammaproteobacteria; Oceanospirillales; Halomonadaceae. The record is from RNAcentral.